AGCUACAUAGCAAAGCAGUCAAUGCAAUAGACUUAGGAUCUAUUAUCAAAGGUGCAAAUCCUUUUAUAGCUG
RNAcentral lists this transfer RNA (72 nucleotides) under Neocucumis proteus. RNAcentral's name for it is "tRNA-Leu". It matches the Rfam family "tRNA". From Rfam's summary of the family: Transfer RNA (tRNA) molecules are approximately 80 nucleotides in length. Their secondary structure includes four short double-helical elements and three loops (D, anti-codon, and T loops). Lineage: Eukaryota; Metazoa; Echinodermata; Holothuroidea; Dendrochirotida; Cucumariidae. The record is from RNAcentral.